GCCUACGGGGGGCAGCAGUGGGGGAUAUUGCACAAUGGGGGAAACCCUGAUGCAGCGACGCCGCGUGGGCGAAGAAGUAUUUCAGUAUGUAAAGCCCUAUCAGCAGGGAAGAAGAAAUGACGGUACCUGAGUAAGAAGCACCGGCUAAAUACGUGCCAGCAGCCGCGGUAAUACGUAUGGUGCAAGCGUUAUCCGGAUUUACUGGGUGUAAAGGGAGCGCAGGCGGCACGGCAAGCCUGAUGUGAAAGCCCGCGGCCCAACCGCGGGACUGCAUUGGGAACGACCGGGCUGGAGUGCCGGAGAGG
This 305-nucleotide ribosomal RNA is filed under the name uncultured bacterium. Its description in RNAcentral is "bacterial SSU rRNA". It matches the Rfam family "Bacterial small subunit ribosomal RNA", at positions 337 to 657 of the family's 1533-position model. The record is from RNAcentral.